Molecule: long non-coding RNA, 2049 nt
Filed under: Rattus norvegicus (Norway rat)
Lineage: Eukaryota; Metazoa; Chordata; Mammalia; Rodentia; Muridae
Description: long non-coding RNA NONRATT024342
Source: RNAcentral
UGAAGGUGUGCGCCACCAAGGCUGACCUUAAAAAAAGCUGCUUUCCCAUGGACUCAGAUUUCUUACCAAAUGUGGUCUGAACUACCUUGAAAUCUCUAGUCUGUCACCAGGUCUACAGUGUGGUUUAAAGUGAUCACUUACACUGACGUCUAGCUUUUGUUUGCAUGCAGAUUAUGGCAUACAGCUUGUGCGAGCGAUGAGGGAGAAGUAAUUGUUUUUGGUGGUUGUGCCAACAAUCUGCUGGUCCAUCAUAGAGCUGCACACAGUAACGAAGUACUUAUAUUUUCAGUCCAACCAAAAUCUCUUGUACGGCUAAGCUUAGAAGCAGUCAUUUGCUUUAAAGAAAUGCUAGCCAACUCGUGGAGCUGCCUUCCAAAACACUUACUUCACAGUGUUAAUCAGAGGUUUGGUAGUAACAACACUUCUGGAUCAUAAGGCUUUGUAGAUACUACUUCUGGUCUACUUGCAUGGAAAACAGCCCUGUAUUUGUCAGUGUCAUCCUUUGUAUAAUUAUAUCAUUGUUGUAGUUUGCAGCUUUCUGGGUUUUAUGUGCAUGUGAAUGGCCUAGAGAACCUAUUUUUGUGUCUAAAGUUUACAAUAAAUGUAUUUAACACCAGUACCUGUCUAUUGUUAAAAGUUAAAAAAAAAUCACUGUGUUGGCAUUUUUUUUAAUGAUUUAUUUUUUAUGUAUACUGAAUGGUGUUUUUCCUGCAUGCGUAAGGGUGUUGGACUCCCUGGAACUGGAGUUACAGACAGUUGUAAGCUGCAGUGUGGGUGCUGGUAACUGAACCUGGGUCCUGUGGAAGAACAGCCAGUGCUGAGCCAUCUCUCCAGCCCCUGCAUUGACUUUUAUACCAAGAAUGGUUAUAACAUUUUUUUUACAUUUAUCUUUUGAUAAUUUGGAUGUGUCUGUAGAAAUGUAAAGAUGCUACAUUUUCAGCCUUUACCCUUAUGUAGCCAAGGCUGGGUCUUGAAUCAGUCAUCCUCUAGCUUCCACCCCUCAAGUACUAGAACUGAAAAUGCUAUCACACUGGGUAUGUCUGCAGUGGGUGAGACUUAAACAGCCCAAGCUACAACUUAGUACUUCAACCUUAGUGUGUUGGUGCAGUCCUGGGACAUGUGGUGGCCAUAGUUACUACCCAGCUAAUUAAAACAUGGUAGUUUAUACCUCCUGAAGGGAAUGAUACUGCAUGGCUUCAUUCUCUAUUCUAAUAGGAGCCGGAAGAAUACUAGUCCAGGAAUCUUUAGUGAUGAGCCUAAAAAAAAAAAAUGCACUUUUGAUUUUUCUUCCCAAGACGGAGUUUCUCUCUAUGGCCUUGGCUGUCCUGAGCUCUAACUCAGAGAGCUACCUGCUUCUGCUUCCCCAAUGCUGCAACCACCACCCAGAAAAAAUGCACUUCUGAUAUUACAGGUCAAGACGCUUGAGCCUGGUGGGAGAUGCACGCCUUUACUCCAGCACUCAGGAGGCAGGGGCAGGCCAUCUCUUGAGGUGAAGGUCAGUCCGCUUUACAGAGUGAGUUCAGGACAACCAUGGCUACACAGGAAACCCUGACUUGGAAAGACCAAAACCACCAUAAGACAGUUUUAACUAUUUGAUAGCUGCUGGGAGUAGGGGAUUGGAAAGAAAAUAGCAAACAAGUGAUAUAUUACAAGGAAGAAAUUAGGAAGAAAGCUGAUAUAUAUAUAUAUAAAUGCACGGAAACAACUGUCAUUUUCUUGUGGUUUUUUUUUUUUUUUUUUUUUUUGCAUUUGAUGUAAAACUUGGCAAAGUGUUCAAGACACAAACCUUAAAUGUUUAAUUGCUCUACUAACCAAACAGAAACCUCUCCUGACUGGCUGUACUAUGUAUGAGAUGUUAUAUACAGUAGACCACUACGUCAGUAGUUUAUGCACUUGAGCCAUUUCAGGGUCUUUUCAUCAUGAAUGAGACCUCAAGAAUUUCAAUAAAAUGUAGAACAAUUACAGGUGUGUAUCAUUAAGUUUUCACAAAUAUUUUACGAAAUAUUAUUGUAGUAGUGUAUAUAUAUAUAUAUAUAUAUAUAUAUAUAU